This 253-nucleotide ribosomal RNA is filed under the name uncultured bacterium. Its description in RNAcentral is "partial 16S ribosomal RNA". It matches the Rfam family "Bacterial small subunit ribosomal RNA", at positions 524 to 776 of the family's 1533-position model. The record is from RNAcentral.
UACGUAGGGGGCAAGCGUUGUCCGGAAUCAUUGGGCGUAAAGCGCGCGUAGGCGGCCAGAUAAGUCCGGUGUGAAAGUCACAGGCUCAACCUGUGAAUGCCGCUGGAAACUGUCUGGCUUGAGUCCGGAAGGGGCGAGUGGAAUUCCUGGUGUAGCGGUGAAAUGCGCAGAUAUCAGGAGGAACACCAAUGGCGAAGGCAGCACUCUGGGACGUGACUGACGCUGAGACGCGAAAGCGUGGGGAGCAAACAGG